Molecule: ribosomal RNA, 870 nt
Filed under: uncultured archaeon
Lineage: Archaea
Description: bacterial SSU rRNA
Rfam family: Archaeal small subunit ribosomal RNA
Source: RNAcentral
AGCCAUGCGAGUCGAGAGGUGCAAGACCUCGGCGAACUGCUCAGUAACACGUGGACAAUCUGCCCUGAAGAAGAGAAUAAUCCCGGGAAACUGGGGGUAAUGCUCUAUAGUCCGGGGAAACUGGAAUGUUUCCCGGAUGAAAGAUCCGUCGCUUCAGGAUGAGUCUGCGGCCGAUUAGGUAGUUGUUGGGGUAAAAGCCCAACAAGCCCGUAAUCGGUACGGGUUGUGGGAGCAAGAGCCCGGAGAUGGAUUCUGAGACACGAAUCCAGGCCCUACGGGGCGCAGCAGGCGCGAAAACUUUACAAUGCGGGCAACCGUGAUAAGGAAACCCCGAGUGCCAGCACAGGCUGGCUGUCCGCCAGUGUAAAAAACUGGUGAAGAAAGGGCCGGGCAAGACCGGUGCCAGCCGCCGCGGUAAUACCGGCGGCUCGAGUGGUGGCCACUAUUACUGGGCUUAAAGCGUCCGUAGCUGGUCUGUUAAGUCUCUGGGGAAAUCUUCCGGCUUAACCGGAAGGCGUCUCAGGGAUACUGGCGGACUAGGGACCGGGAGAGGUGAGAGGUACUCCAGGGGUAGGAGUGAAAUCCUGUAAUCCUUGGGGGACCACCUGUGGCGAAGGCGUCUCACCAGAACGGCUCCGACAGUGAGGGACGAAAGCUGGGGGAGCAAACCGGAUUAGAUACCCGGGUAGUCCCAGCUGUAAACGAUGCGCGUUAGGUGUAUCGGUGACCACGAGUCACCGAGGUGCCGAAGAGAAAUCGUGAAACGUGCCGCCUGGGAAGUACGGUCGCAAGGCUGAAACUUAAAGGAAUUGGCGGGGGAGCACCACAAGGGGUGAAGCCUGCGGUUCAAUUGGAGUCAACGCCGGAAAG